Molecule: transfer RNA, 80 nt
Filed under: Streptobacillus moniliformis
Lineage: Bacteria; Fusobacteriati; Fusobacteriota; Fusobacteriia; Fusobacteriales; Leptotrichiaceae
Description: tRNA-Leu
Rfam family: tRNA (bases 4-71)
About the family: Transfer RNA (tRNA) molecules are approximately 80 nucleotides in length. Their secondary structure includes four short double-helical elements and three loops (D, anti-codon, and T loops).
Source: RNAcentral
UGGUGGUGAAAUGGUAGACACACAGGACUUAAAAUCCUGUGGGAGUAAUCCCGUGCCGGUUCGAGUCCGCCGAGAGACCA